GAUGAACGCUGGCGGCGUGCCUAAUACAUGCAAGUCGAGCGAACGGACGAGAAGCUUGCUUCUCUGAUGUUAGCGGCGGACGGGUGAGUAACACGUGGAUAACCUACCUAUAAGACUGGGAUAACUUCGGGAAACCGGAGCUAAUACCGGAUAAUAUUUUGAACCGCAUGGUUCAAAAGUGAAAGACGGUCUUGCUGUCACUUAUAGAUGGAUCCGCGCUGCAUUAGCUAGUUGGUAAGGUAACGGCUUACCAAGGCAACGAUGCAUAGCCGACCUGAGAGGAUGAUCAGCCACACUGGAACUGAGACACGGUCCAGACUCCUACGGGAGGCAGCAGUAGGGAAUCUUCCACAAUGGGCGAAAGCCUGACGGAGCAACGCCGCGUGAGUGAUGAAGGUCUUCGGAUCGUAAAACUCUGUUAUUAGGGAAGAACAUAUGUGUAAGUAACUGUGCACAUCUUGACGGUACCUAAUCAGAAAGCCACGGCUAACUACGUG
Molecule: ribosomal RNA, 497 nt
Filed under: uncultured bacterium
Lineage: Bacteria
Description: partial 16S ribosomal RNA
Rfam family: Bacterial small subunit ribosomal RNA
Source: RNAcentral